Molecule: long non-coding RNA, 2216 nt
Filed under: Callithrix jacchus (white-tufted-ear marmoset)
Lineage: Eukaryota; Metazoa; Chordata; Mammalia; Primates; Cebidae
Description: lncRNA (ENSCJAG00000083140.1)
Source: RNAcentral
GAAAAAUGGCAAUAACACUAAUAGAAACCUCCACAAGACUACUAAGUGAAUUACAGAAAAUAAACUCAAAGGGUGUGGAAUAUUAUCCAGAGAAUGCUUGCACUGCUUGGCUGUGGCGGACACCUGGCUGGGGUGGAGGCCCUGGCCUGGUCUGACCUCGUGAGGCUUGAAUGCUUCUCCAACCACCUCCUGCCCUGCAACCAACCUUGGCAGAGCCCUCGUGGCCAGAGGCCCAGUGCCUGUCAUGGAGUCGAAGCUGUACUUCCUCGUCAGCCAGUACCUGUCGGCCAGCCUGUGCCAAACAGCAGCCUAGGUACCAGUGCCAGAGCUGGAGCAGUACCAGCUGCUGCUGAAGAGGUUGGACUGGGAGGGCAAUAAGCACAGCAGUCUAAAACUUUGAGACAUAAUUAUUAAACUGAAUACAAAGAACUAGUCUUGUCCAUUAAGCAUGUGGCUCCUGACCAUCUGCUGCGGGUCUGACAGUGCUUCAGUCUUAUUUUCUUUUUUUUUUUUUAAAGACGGGGUUUCACCAUGUUGGUCAGGCUGGUCUUAAACCCCCAACCUCAGGUGAUCCACCCACCUUGGCCACCAAAGUGCUUGGAUUACAGGUGUGAGCCACCACGCCUGGCCUUCAAUCUUAUUUUGGAUAAAGAAAUUCCACUCCGGUUUUGAAGAGUCACUUCUUUCCUUGGUGCAGGAAGGCAGUCUUUGUUACAUACAGCAAAACAUAGGUUAAUGUAAAUAUGUGAUCUGCUUUCUGUUAAUAGCUAAAUAAUUGCUAAAAUUGUGACAUAAUGCAAGCAUUGUGGAAGAAAGGUACUAAUUAUAUGUAAGUCAUGCUGUGUACCAUACAACUCUUUGCAUUUAGCAUAGAACACUGAAUUUUGCUGUAUUUCGUGGACACUUCUGCAUAUGAAAAAUUGAUAAAGACACAAAUGUUAGCUAAAAAGCUUGUAUUUACUCUGAGAUGUGUUUGAGGUUUUAUCAGUGUGACUUCUUAAUCUUCCACCCUGGAGUUCACGUAUAACUUCAUUGAAUGUAAUUGUAUUUGUCUAAUAAACUCUAAAUGCUAGGAGUAUUUCAUUUGAUAUUUAGAACCUGAAAGUCCUUUGUUAUAAAGGGAAGUGAUUUCAUAAAAUUGGAAGCAGCCUGAGAACAAGUACCAAAAAUGUAAAAUUGAGUGGGUCUGUUAUUUAUCAAUUUGAUUUUUUUACAAAAUUAUGUGCUAGCAUAAUGUUUGUAACUGCUAUGCUUCUUCUGGUAGCUUGAUAUAAAUGACUUAAACUAAGUAUACGCAUGUGAUAUGAUGCAUGUGUACAUCUGAUUAAACUGAUAAUGGGCAAAGAUUGUUGGUUCUUUUGAUCCUAAACAUACAUUAAAUCACAUCCCAUGAUUAUUUUUUGUUCCAAGCUAUUGCUGAUGUGAUGCUACCUCUUAAAUGCACCACUAAUAUAAAGCUUAACUGAGAAGGAAACAACCCGCCCUUUUAGUUCCACGCUAGACUGGCUUAUCAGCUUUAGUUGUUUCUUAGUCCUCUACAGCAAUGCCACACUGUGGCAUUGAAAACCCAUGUAUAGUCUUCUUCCUUCUUCUGUGCCCCUAUUCACUUUGUAAUCAUUCUGUUUUAGGGGUUAUGUGGUAGUUACUGGAGUGGCAUGUUUUCCUUGGUUUUCUCUACUUGUGUCAAGCUCAGUGUCAUGGUUCUGUUAUGAGCACCGCUUGCUACUAGCAGAUCUUAAAAGAGACUUGCAGCUCCAGAGAUGGGGCCAAAAUUCUCUUUUUGUUUUCUACUAGGACCACAAGAGGAUGCCUUGCAACUGCUCUUUGGUCAUAACGAUAAAGAAUCCAUUCAUGGAAAAUGCAAUAUGCCUGUUGGUUUGGGCACCUGAGAUUUCGUAGAGGUUUAGCAUGAUGGUCUCCCUCCUUUUUUUUUUUUUUUUUUUUUUGAGUGGUGAAGAAACUAAAUUUCUAGCACAGCAUGACUGCUCAUAACCUGUGUUCUGCUGCUAUCUCCCAUAGAGGAGGGUAGAUAUUGCUUUCUUAGUGCAUUGGCUGGUAGGUCAAGGAGGGAUGGGGCUUUUGAAUUUGUGUUCAGACUCACAGAUCCUGCAUAAGGGCUGUUCUGUAGAGGAUUACCUGUGAUCAUAAAAUAAAAGGAAAGGUAUUUAAUUUUAAUUUGUCAAUACUUCAUAAAGAGACUUAAGUCAAUGCAGUAU